CCCAUGGCUCAGAUUGAACGCUGGCGGCAGGCCUAACACAUGCAAGUCGAGCGGAUGACAGGAGCUUGCUCCUGAAUUCAGCGGCGGACGGGUGAGUAAUGCCUAGGAAUCCGCCUGGUAGUGGGGGACAACGUUUCGAAAGGAACGCUAAUACCGCAUACGUCCUACGGGAGAAAGCAGGGGACCUUCGGGCCUUGCGCUAUCAGAUGAGCCUAGGUCGGAUUAGCUAGUUGGUGAGGUAAUGGCUCACCAAGGCGACGAUCCGUAACUGGUCUGAGAGGAUGAUCAGUCACACUGGAACUGAGACACGGUCCAGACUCCUACGGGAGGCAGCAGUGGGGAAUAUUGGACAAUGGGCGAAAGCCUGAUCCAGCCAUGCCGCGUGUGUGAAGAAGGUCUUCGGAUUGUAAAGCACUUUAAGUUGGGAGGAAGGGCAUUAACCUAAUACGUUAGUGUUUUGACGUUACCGACAGAAUAAGCACCGGCUAACU
Molecule: ribosomal RNA, 491 nt
Filed under: Pseudomonas sp. CL2.101
Lineage: Bacteria; Pseudomonadati; Pseudomonadota; Gammaproteobacteria; Pseudomonadales; Pseudomonadaceae
Description: bacterial SSU rRNA
Rfam family: Bacterial small subunit ribosomal RNA
Source: RNAcentral